AAUAGAUACCCUGGUAGUCCACGCCGUAAACGGUGGGCGCUAGGUGUGGGGGACUUUCCACGUCCUCUGUGCCGCAGCUAACGCAUUAAGCGCCCCGCCUGGGGAGUACGGCCGCAAGGCUAAAACUCAAAGGAAUUGACGGGGGGCCCGCACAAGCGGCGGAGCAUGUGGCUUAAUUCGACGCAACGCGAGGAACCUUACCAAGGCUUGACAUGCAGGGAAAUCUCGUAGAGAUACGGGGUCCGCAAGGGCUCUGCACAGGUGGUGCAUGGUUGUCGUCAGCUCGUGUCGUGAGAUGUUGGGUUAAGUCCCGCAACGAGCGCAACCCUUGUCCUAUGUUGCCAGCGAGUAAUGUCGGGGACUCAUAGGAGACUGCCGGGGUCAACUCGGAGGAAGGUGGGGAUGACGUCAAAUCAUCAUGCCCCUUAUGUCUUGGGCUGCACACAUGCUACAAUGGUCGGUACAAAGGGCUGCGAGACCGCAAGGUGGAGCGAAUCCCAAAAAAGCCGGCCUCAGUUCGGAUUGGGGU
Molecule: ribosomal RNA, 529 nt
Filed under: uncultured bacterium
Lineage: Bacteria
Description: bacterial SSU rRNA
Rfam family: Bacterial small subunit ribosomal RNA
Source: RNAcentral